AAGGGUGAUGUGAUCAUCUUACGUGUAAAAGAAAACCGAAUUUCACUUCUGGUGGUGACUAUUGUCUGAUUCAUCAUUACAGUAACCACCCAAGGAAACCCUGCCCACAAAAAGCAUUCUUCUGGAGAAGGAACAGUUUUUGGUGACACACAUGAUGGCAACAAUGAACGCUUUGUGGCACGAUGACCUCUAUGAAAAAGAGAGAUAUACAGGUUUUGCUUUUGUUCACUCAACUAAUUACCAACCUUUCAUUAUACCUCUACUCGGACAUCUAAACUUCAGUUAAGCUCUAUGUUUAAGUGGGAUGGAUCUUCAAUUUGCCUACCUAAGG
RNAcentral lists this long non-coding RNA (331 nucleotides) under Homo sapiens (human). RNAcentral's name for it is "HSALNT0253290". The record is from RNAcentral. Lineage: Eukaryota; Metazoa; Chordata; Mammalia; Primates; Hominidae.